RNAcentral lists this ribosomal RNA (424 nucleotides) under uncultured bacterium. Its description in RNAcentral is "bacterial SSU rRNA". It matches the Rfam family "Bacterial small subunit ribosomal RNA", at positions 359 to 776 of the family's 1533-position model. The record is from RNAcentral.
GAAUUGUUCGCAAUGGGCGCAAGCCUGACGACGCAACGCCGCGUGGAGGAUGAAGGUCUUCGGAUUGUAAACUCCUGUUGCCCGGGACGAAAUGCUUCGACCUAAUACGUCGAAGUUUGACGGUACCGGGUGAGGAAGCCCCGGCUAACGCUGUGCCAGCAGCCGCGGUAAUACAGAGGGGGCAAGCGUUGUUCGGAAUUACUGGGCGUAAAGGGCGCGUAGGCGGCCUUCUAAGUCAGACGUGAAAUCCCCGGGCUCAACCCGGGAACUGCGUCUGAUACUGGAGGGCUUGAAUCCGGGAGAGGGAUGUGGAAUUCCAGGUUUAGCGGUGAAAUGCGUAGAUAUCUGGAGGAACACCGGUGGCGAAGGCGGCAUCCUGGACCGGUAUUGACGCUGAGGCGCGAAAGCCAGGGGAGCAAACGGG